UCUCUAUGCGGUGUCAGCCGCCGCGGUAAUACAGAGGGUGCAAGCGUUGUCCGGAAUCACUGGGCGUAAAGGGCGCGUAGGCGGCUUGGUAAGUAGGGGGUGAAAUCUCACGGCUCAACCGUGAGGCUGCCUUCUAGACUGCCGAGCUUGAGCACAGUAGAGGCUGGUGGAAUUCCCGGUGUAGCGGUGGAAUGCGUAGAGAUCGGGAAGAACAUCUGUGGCGAAGGCGGCCAGCUGGGCUGUUGCUGACGCUGAUGCGCGACAGCGUAGGGAGCAAACAGGAUUAGAUACCCUGGUAGUCCACGCCGUAAACGAUGGGUACUAGGCGUCGGGGGGAGCGACCCUCUCGGUGCCGUCGCUAACGCAAUAAGUACCCCGCCUGGGGAGUACGGUCGCAAGACUGAAACUUAAAUGAAUU
Molecule: ribosomal RNA, 418 nt
Filed under: uncultured bacterium
Lineage: Bacteria
Description: bacterial SSU rRNA
Rfam family: Bacterial small subunit ribosomal RNA
Source: RNAcentral